This is a long non-coding RNA of Symphalangus syndactylus (siamang), 1243 nucleotides long. RefSeq lists it as uncharacterized. The record is from RefSeq and is a predicted model, not a curated record. Lineage: Eukaryota; Metazoa; Chordata; Mammalia; Primates; Hylobatidae.
GAACAACUAUAAUAUUUUUGUGAGCACACAUCAGAUAUCUUCUGGGGACUCACAGGACUAUCUGACGGAAGGGCUAUUUUGCAGAAGACUGAGGUCUUACGUAGACUGCAUAGAGUUAAAAAACAGUUGCAUCUGUAUUAGUGUGGCUCAUGUGAUGCCACCUGUGUCUACAAGUUGGUUAAACCUUGGAAUAUUUAUUUGGGAACAGUUGCAGGAGUGGAGAGAAAACACACAGAACCAGGGAUUACAGGCAUGAGCCACCGUGCCCAGCCCUGAAAAAUUGUUUUGAUCUCAUAGAACUUAUAUUCUCCUGUGAGAGACAGACAACAAACAAGAGAGAUUAGUAUAUAAAAUAUUGAUAGAAAUAAGUACUAAAAAGAAAAUCAAAGAGAGAAAGGGAGAUAAGAAACAUCAAGAGCAGGAGAUGAUUGAAGUUGUAGACAGGUGAGCCGGGGAAGGUUUCACUGAACAUUUUGACAAACACCCAAAGGAAGUGAGAGAGUUUACCACGUGGAUAUCUGAGGGAAAAACAUUCUAGGCAAAGGGCACAGCCAGUGCAAAGCUCAGAGGCAUGAGGAUGUCAGAUGCUAAGGAGUGGCCAGGGGCCAGUGUGGGGGAGUAGAGAUGAGGUCAGAUGAUAACAGCAGGCCAAAUCACGCUGUGUUGCAGGUCGUGGUUAAGACACUGGCUUUUUUUCCUGAAAGAGAAUAAGAAAUUCAAAGGUCACAGUGAUAAUUUCCUAGAUAAGGCGAUGGGGGCCUGAACUGGAGUGACAAGAAUGGAACAAAAAGGAAGCCGCAAGAGUGACUGAGAGCACACAGCCCUUUUCCCAGCCCCACACCGGCCUCCGCUAAGAGAAAGAAAACCAAAAUCUUACAGCAGAAAGCCAAGGGGGAAAAAAAGACUUCGUGAGCUGAAUAUAAGAACUAGAAAGACACCCAAAAACCUUUCCUCUUCCUGAGAAGCGGCCAAUCAGGGCUCACAAGAGAAACAAUUUGGUAGAAGUGAACAACCCAAUAUGACCACUUCAAAAGGUUGUUGUUAUGGAUCAGAGAUGAGUAUGAGUCCUCAGAAAACUGCAAAGCAUUGUGUGAGCAUUUCUCAAAUACUUUUUCACUGACUCCUAAGAUCCUACAAAAUGGCAAUGGGUGUUCCGUGGGGAAAUUAUGGGUUCCACAAUCCUCCCAUCCACUCAAAAAAAGUAGGAAAUCCUGCAUACCUUAUAUGCUUCGUUGAGCUUCAC